Molecule: non-coding RNA, 29 nt
Filed under: Rattus norvegicus (Norway rat)
Lineage: Eukaryota; Metazoa; Chordata; Mammalia; Rodentia; Muridae
Source: RNAcentral
UGCCUGAUCUGCAGACAAGAAGCCCCAAU